RNAcentral lists this ribosomal RNA (398 nucleotides) under uncultured bacterium. Its description in RNAcentral is "bacterial SSU rRNA". It matches the Rfam family "Bacterial small subunit ribosomal RNA", at positions 29 to 420 of the family's 1533-position model. The record is from RNAcentral.
AACGAACGCUGGCGGCGUGGUUUAGGCAUGCAAGUCGAGCGAGAAAGUCCUCCGGGACGAGUACAGCGGCGAAAGGGUGAGUAAUAUAUAGGUAACCUACCUCUUGGACUCGGAUAAUUCCUGGAAACGGGUUGUAAUACGAGAUCGUCCUAUUGGGUCGCAUGGCCCGACUGGUAAAUGGUAGCUCUGCUUCUGCCGAGAGAGGGGCCUAUAUUCUAUUAGCUAGUUGGUGAGGUAAUGGCUCACCAAGGCUUUGAUGGGUAGCCGGACUGAGAGGUUGGCCGGUCACACUGGGACUGAGACACUGCCCAGACUCCUACGGGAGGCUGCAGUCGAGAAUCUUCCGCAAUGGGCGAAAGCCUGACGGGGCGACGCCGCGUGAACGAAGAAGGCCUCGG